This 287-nucleotide long non-coding RNA is filed under the name Mytilus galloprovincialis (Mediterranean mussel). Lineage: Eukaryota; Metazoa; Mollusca; Bivalvia; Mytilida; Mytilidae. The record is from RNAcentral.
UCUGGAUUUAAUACUUUGGAUACCACUGGUUUUAGCAAUGAGAAAAUUUUGCACCAUACAUAUAGAACACAACUACCAUAUGAAUGUGUCGGUCCUUAGUAAGAAGCCUGUAAAACAGGGCUUGUAAUUUUUUGGUGUAUAUCUUGAUUUUCCGUUUGUACAUUGAUGUGGCCAUUAGUUUUCUUGUAUAUAUUGUUUAACAUUUGUCAUUUCAUGGCUAUUUCUAACUGAUUUAUGUAUAGUUUUUUUCUGAUUGUAAAAAUGUUGUAUGGUAAGCUUUAUUUCUU